This 72-nucleotide transfer RNA is filed under the name Camelus bactrianus (Bactrian camel). It matches the Rfam family "tRNA". From Rfam's summary of the family: Transfer RNA (tRNA) molecules are approximately 80 nucleotides in length. Their secondary structure includes four short double-helical elements and three loops (D, anti-codon, and T loops). The record is from Rfam by way of RNAcentral. RNAcentral also lists the same sequence under 2 other names. Lineage: Eukaryota; Metazoa; Chordata; Mammalia; Artiodactyla; Camelidae.
GCAGGUACAGCUCAGUGGUAGAGCGUAUGCUUAGCAUGCAUGAGGUCAUGGGUACAAUCCCCAGUACUUCUG